RNAcentral lists this ribosomal RNA (831 nucleotides) under uncultured Campylobacterota bacterium. Its description in RNAcentral is "bacterial SSU rRNA". It matches the Rfam family "Bacterial small subunit ribosomal RNA", at positions 582 to 1410 of the family's 1533-position model. The record is from RNAcentral. Lineage: Bacteria; Pseudomonadati; Campylobacterota.
GGCAAGUCAGAUGUGAAAUCCUACAGCUUAACUGUAGAACUGCAUUUGAAACUGCCGUCCUAGAGUAUGGGAGGGGGAGAUGGAAUUAGUGGUGUAGGGGUAAAAUCCGUAGAUAUCACUAGGAAUACCGAAAGCGAAGGCGAUUUCCUGGAACAUAACUGACGCUAAGGCGUGAAAGCGUGGGGAGCAAACAGGAUUAGAUACCCUGGUAGUCCACGCCCUAGACGAUGAAUGCUAGUCGUUGUGGUGCUAGUCACUGCAGUGAUGCAGCUAACGCAAUAAGCAUUCCGCCUGGGGAGUACGGUCGCAAGAUUAAAACUCAAAGGAAUAGACGGGGACCCGCACAAGCGGUGGAGCAUGUGGUUUAAUUCGAAGAUACGCGAAGAACCUUACCUGGGCUUGACAUCCCAAGAAUCUCUCAGAGAUGAGAGAGUGCCCUUUCGGGGGAACUUGGURACAGGUGCUGCACGGCUGUCGUCAGCUCGUGUCGUGAGAUGUUGGGUUAAGUCCCGCAACGAGCGCAACCCUCGUCCUUAGUUGCCAGCACUUAGGGUGGGCACUCUAAGGAGACUGCCUGGGUAACCAGGAGGAAGGUGAGGACGACGUCAAGUCAUCAUGCCCCUUAUGUCCAGGGCGACACACGUGCUACAAUGGCGUGUACAAUGAGACGCGAUACCGUGAGGUGGAGCAAAUUUAUAAAGCACGUCCCAGUUCGGAUUGCAGUCUGCAACUCGACUGCAUGAAGUUGGAAUCGCUAGUAAUCGCGGAUCACCCAUGCCGCGGUGAAUACGUUCCCGGGUCUUGUACUCACCGCCCGUCACACCAUGGGGA